Molecule: ribosomal RNA, 255 nt
Filed under: uncultured bacterium
Lineage: Bacteria
Description: partial small subunit ribosomal RNA
Rfam family: Bacterial small subunit ribosomal RNA
Source: RNAcentral
AGGACGAACGCUGGCGGCGUGCUUAACACAUGCAAGUCGAGCGGAAAGGCCCUUCGGGGUACUCGAGCGGCGAACGGGUGAGUAACACGUGAGUAAUCUGCCCCUAGCUCUGGGAUAGCCCCCGGGAAACCGGGAUUAAUACCAGAUACGACCACUUUAGACAUCUGUUGUGGUGGAAAGAAUUUUGGCUAGGGAUGAGCUCGCGGCCUAUCAGCUUGUUGGUGAGGUAACGGCUCACCAAGGCGACGACGGGUA